AUGGAUUGGUCAUCUCUCACCUGUUCCGCCUCCUUCCUAAUCAUUCUGCUCCUGCCGUUGGGUGCGUCUGAUGACCGGCUUGUCCCCAGCAAGCCGCUCUCCCCUGGCACAACCGUCGUCUCGGAUGGCGGUGACUUCGCCUUGGGCUUCUUCUCCUCAUCCGGCUCGACGCCGUCCAACCUGUACCUUGGCAUCUGGUACAGCAGCAUCCCCGAGCUCACUGUGGUGUGGGUUGCCAACCGGGGAACCCCACUCACAAACGGUACCUCCUCUGCACCGACUCUCACCCUCACCAAUGCCUCCAAUCUUGUUCUCUCUGACAGUGAUGGUGGUCGAGUUGUUUGGAUGACCAACGUGGGCGCUGCCUCGAGCUCCUCUUCGACAGAGGCGGUGCUUCUGAACACCGGUAACCUCAUCAUUCGGUCACCCAACGGCACCACGUUGUGGCAGAGUUUCGACCACCCAACCGACACGUUCCUGCCCGGCAUGAAGAUGCAAAUCAGGUAUAGGACACGCGCCGGUGAGCGCCUGGUGUCCUGGAAAGACGCUGGAGACCCCUCGCCUGGGGGCUUCUCCUACGGCUGCGAUCCGGCCACGUCCAUCCAGAUGUUCCUUUGGGACGGGUCACGCCCGGUGUACCGCAGCACCCCGUGGACCGGGUUCCGGGUGAAGAGCGAAGACGAGUACCUGUUGACAAACACCAGCGCUAUCAUCAUAAACCUGGCUUUCGUCAACAACGAUGAGGAGAGCUACACGAUGUUUACCGUCUCUGAUGGUGCCUGGCACACCAGGUUCGUGCUGACCUACUCCGGCAAGCUCCAGUUCCAAAGCUGGAACAGUAGCUCUUCCACGUGGGUAGUUUUUGGGCAGUGGCCACCCCAUGAAUGCAACCGCUACGGCUACUGUGGCCCGAAUGGCUAUUGCGAUGAGACGGUGUUGCCUAUUCCGACGUGCAAGUGCUUUGACGGUUUCAAGCCGAUGAGCACGGAGGAGUGGGACAAUGGCGAGUUCUGGAAAGGGUGCCAACGGAAAGAGGCGUUGCGUUGCAGCGAUGGUUUCAUGCCCUUGUCGGGGAUGAAGCCACCGGAUAGGUUCGUGAUCGUCGGAAACACGUCGUUGAGGGAGUGCGCCGCGGCAUGUGGUCGCAACUGCUCCUGCAUGGCGUACGCAUACGCCAACCUGAGCAGCAGCAUUGAAAACAGAGACCUGACAAGGUGUUUGGUGUGGGUCGGGGAGUUGGUUGACACCGGGAGGCUAGGCGCAAGCACCGCCAGCGACACACUCUAUCUACGGCUUGCAGGCUUAGAUGCAGCAACUGGUAAAAGGACAAGGAGCAAUGCCAUGAAAGUUGUGUUGCCGGUUUUAGGAGGUGCUGCUCUGAUACUCAUGUGCAUUUCCAUUGCAUGGUUGAAAUUCAAAGGCAAGGACAGAAACCAGGAAAAACACAAGAAGUUGCCAUCGGAUGGUUCAAGUGAUCUUGACUUUCCAUUUAUAAGAUUUGAGGAAAUUGCCCUAGCAACACACAAUUUCUCCGAAACAUGUAUGAUUGGACAUGGAGGCUUUGGCAAAGUUUAUAAGGGAAUUGUAGGUGGUCAAGAAAUUGCUGUCAAAAGGCUAAGUAGGGAUUCUCAACAAGGAACAAAUGAAUUCAGGAAUGAAGUAAUUCUUAUUGCCAAAUUGCAACACAAAAAUUUGGUUCGACUUCUUGGAUGUUGUGACAAGGGAGAUGAAAAGUUAUUGAUCUAUGAGUAUUUGCCCAAUAAAAGCUUAGAUGCCACCCUUUUUGAUGAUUCAAGAAAACAUUUGCUGGAUUGGGGGACACGGUUAAAUAUAAUUAAAGGUAUCGCAAGGGGGCUUCUUUAUCUUCAUGAAGAUUCAAGACUGACCAUAAUUCACAGAGAUCUCAAAGCAGGGAACGUUUUGCUAGAUGCAGAGAUGAAACCUAAAAUAGCAGAUUUUGGUAUGGCAAGGAUCUUCGGUGAUAACCAGGAAAAUGCGAACACCCAACGCGUCGUCGGAACAUUUGGCUACAUGGCCCCUGAGUAUGCAAUGCACGGCAUCAUCUCUAUCAAAUCCGACAUCUACAGUUUUGGCGUGUUACUACUGGAGAUUGUAACUGGUAUGAAGAGAAGCUCCACUAGUCACGCCAUGGGCUUUCCAAGCCUCAUAAUCUACUCGUGGAAUAUGUGGAAAGAUGGGAAGGCAGCAGAAUUGGCUGACUCAUCUAUUAUAGAUACAUGCCUACUAGAUGAGGUGUUGCUUUGCAUUCAUGUAGCACUCUUGUGUGUCCAAGAAAACCCAAAAGACAGACCACACAUGUCAUCGGUUGUGUUCACCCUAGAGAAUGGAAGCACUACACUCCCAACUCCCAGUCGGCCUGCAUACUUUGUGGGACAGAGCACUGAGUUGGAGCAACUCAGAAACAAUAUUCAGAAUUCCGUGAAUACUUUAACUCUUACUGGUAUAGAGGGUCGAUGA
This 2478-nucleotide ribosomal RNA is filed under the name Triticum aestivum (bread wheat). RNAcentral describes it as "partial small subunit ribosomal RNA". The record is from RNAcentral. Lineage: Eukaryota; Viridiplantae; Streptophyta; Magnoliopsida; Poales; Poaceae.